RNAcentral lists this long non-coding RNA (331 nucleotides) under Daucus carota (carrot). Its description in RNAcentral is "long non-coding RNA (DCAR_LNC007438)". The record is from RNAcentral. Lineage: Eukaryota; Viridiplantae; Streptophyta; Magnoliopsida; Apiales; Apiaceae.
UUAUUUUCACCCGUAAAAUCAUUUCACCAGUUUCUCUGCACGAAUACCGAGAGAAACCGAGCUGCGUUCUUCGUGUUCUUCAUAAUCAAACGAAGAUUUGAAGGUGUUAUUGAAGUCAGAAUCAAGCGUGCAAAUAGUCAAAUCGAAGAUAUCGAAGAGUAGAACCCAAAUCAAUCAUCAAAAACAACAUGAGAUUCACAGGUAGGGAGUAAUUGAAGCUUUAAAAUUCGAAUUAUUAUGAUUUAAAUAGUGAAUUUUUGCAAACGUGGUUAUUUGAUUGUUUUGAUGAUUCCAUGUUGUAGUACGUGCUUUUCUCGUCGUUUUGGUAUAU